UCCGUUGGUGAACCAGCGGAUGGAUCAUUA
This 30-nucleotide ribosomal RNA is filed under the name Sarocladium kiliense. Its description in RNAcentral is "partial 18S ribosomal RNA". The record is from RNAcentral. Lineage: Eukaryota; Fungi; Ascomycota; Sordariomycetes; Hypocreales; Sarocladiaceae.